This 467-nucleotide ribosomal RNA is filed under the name uncultured bacterium. Its description in RNAcentral is "partial 16S ribosomal RNA". It matches the Rfam family "Bacterial small subunit ribosomal RNA", at positions 28 to 506 of the family's 1533-position model. The record is from RNAcentral.
GACGAACGCUGGCGGCGUGCUUAACACAUGCAAGUCGAACGGAAAGGCCCUGCUUUUGUGGGGUGCUCGAGUGGCGAACGGGUGAGUAACACGUGAGUAACCUGCCCUUGACUUUGGGAUAACUUCAGGAAACUGGGGCUAAUACCGGAUAGGAGCUCCUGCUGCAUGGUGGGGGUUGGAAAGUUUCGGCGGUUGGGGAUGGACUCGCGGCUUAUCAGCUUGUUGGUGGGGUAGUGGCUUACCAAGGCUUUGACGGGUAGCCGGCCUGAGAGGGUGACCGGCCACAUUGGGACUGAGAUACGGCCCAGACUCCUACGGGAGGCAGCAGUGGGGAAUAUUGCACAAUGGGCGGAAGCCUGAUGCAGCAACGCCGCGUGCGGGAUGACGGCCUUCGGGUUGUAAACCGCUUUCGCAUGUGACGAAGCGUGAGGGACGGUAAUGGGUAAAGAAGCACCGGCUAACUACGU